GUAGCCUUCAGCAUCUCACAGAAAUGGUGGACCUGAACUGAGUAGGAUUUUCCAUGUGCUCUCAACUGUGGUAAAUUUAUAUGAAUGUAUAAUAUAACAUUCUGAUAAGUCAAACUGGGACCUAAGAAGGGUAUUUGUGAAUUAUUGGUCAUCAUUCAUAUGUGUUAUAUUGACAGAUGACCCUCUGAAGUGGAGUGAGCUAAGUUCACUAGACUAGAAAGAAUUUUGUAUUCAAAUAUCACCCUGUGACCACUCAAUUAUUUGACAGGGGUCAAGUUUUGUGAAGUUUGAAUUUGAACUUUUUGCUUCUGCAAGAGUUAAGGAAACAUCCAGAGAGCAAUUGUGAAGACCCAUGCCUAGACUUGGUAGAUUGUAGGGCAAAGU
RNAcentral lists this long non-coding RNA (384 nucleotides) under Marmota monax (woodchuck). Lineage: Eukaryota; Metazoa; Chordata; Mammalia; Rodentia; Sciuridae. The record is from RNAcentral.